Long non-coding RNA from Cavia porcellus (domestic guinea pig), 6563 nucleotides. RefSeq lists it as uncharacterized. Lineage: Eukaryota; Metazoa; Chordata; Mammalia; Rodentia; Caviidae. The transcript is spliced from 2 exons. The record is from RefSeq and is a predicted model, not a curated record.
GUUAGAUUUAUCUCUCUUUUAUCUCGGUCUAACUCAAGAUUUAUGGAUUUUGUAUCUUCAAAAAACUAACUCUGUUUCAUUUAUUUUUGUGUCAAUUUUGAUUGUCUGAUUUAUUUCUGCCAAUAUUUUUACUAUUGUUUGUUUCUUGUUAUUGUGGUUGACAUUUACUUGAUAGCAUCAGACUUAUGCCAUGCUACAGCUGUCAAGUCACUGAAGCUAUGCUUGUAUGACAUGUUUGUACAUCAAGCAUUUUCUGGGGUGGAGGCCACUGCCUGCUGCACUUGUGAGAUCCUGGGCACCAGGGCUACAACCUAGGAUGCUGAAGUGAUUUCCUAAGUAAUUGGGCCAAACACUGUGCACAGUUAGGAAUCAAUAGCUGUUGAAAAGUACACAGUGUGGUUGUAAAUAUCAACGUCAUGUGGCUAAGCUAAGUAUUAGCACUAUGGCAGAUCAAGAUCAGUGAAAGUAGCUACUUGCUCAACACUUUCUAGGUAUGCGAGUUUACAGAACAGUGGGUUAUAUUUUGGUCCAUGAUACUGACAUACACUGUCCACUGCUAUCUAAGUGCUGCUCUGUGUCCAGUUUUAGCUUUCUACUGCAGCCAUAACAAAGAGCCCAGAGACAAUUUUGAUUUAGUUGUUUUUUCUAGGGGCCCUGACUCAUGCUCUAUGUUGUACCAGUUUCAUUUAAAUUUACUUGCACACCUGGUGAGGAGGGCUGAGAGAAUUUUACCUGAUAUGGUAAAAUAUUGGCCUUUUCAAGUGCUUCCACCUAGGGAACAUAAAGGUGUCAAGUAGCUCUGUCUUUAUUAGGCAAUAUGUACAUGUAGACUGUUAACUAAAUGGGGAAUGAAACCUUGUCACUUAGCAAAGAGCUCCAAAAAUAUGUGCAUGCUCUUAUCCCCAUACAGGGUACAGUAAAUGCUUACAUUUUAUUUCAUGCUUGGCCUCUCAUUAAAUGGGUCUUUUCCAACCACGUCAUUUCCUGGAAAUUCAUGGACAUUCUAGUCCUUUGUAUUAUUUUUUAAUUUUUAUUUUAAAGAGAAAAAAAUUAAAAAUAAUAAGAGUUUCAAAACAGGCUUGCUGGAGAUUAAUAGUGUUUAACACAUUGUAUGUUGUUAUCUUCAUAGUACUUGCUUAGAGUACAAGAUAUAUGCAUGAAAUAUUUACCAAAAAAUAGUAGCUUAAACUUUUCUUUUCAAUGAGCUAAAAGAAAUUGACUGUAGACCAUGUGCCUUAGAAGAGACAAUCUAUCCCGUACUGUGAAAGCAAGCACAUGGUAGGUCUGUUGGAUUCCAUAAGAGAGCAUAGUCUUCAACAGUUUGCAUAAUACCACCCAAGUAAUAAAGUUAAACUACUUCAGCAGGGAACAAGACUAAAGUGUGGACUUGAGCUCCAAUUCCAUGGUGGCAAGGUGCAGGCAUCUUUGAAGCAGCCUCCAGAAUCUCUACUUUCUCUUUGUCUCAAAUAAAGCCCAGCUUCUCCUGCACAUCUGUUUGUCAGGGAAUGCUAGAAAAGGCAUUGUCUAAAUACAGCACAGGAAGAUCAGAGCCAUGAGAGGACCUGAUAUUUUUUCUAGUAACUAAAUAAUGAUAAGGGACAAACCAUAGACAGGAGAUAUCACUUUCCUACCGUAUAGUUGACAGUCAUUGCACAAACUCCAUCUAGUUUUUUGAGAGGCCACACAGAUCAAUUGAAAGAACUGAAAUAGGUCAUAAAAUCCAAUCUCAUAUAACUCACCAUCACUCAUGCCUCUCUGGUCACUCGCCUUAGCAUUCUGAAGUGAUGUUGGCCAUACCUCUAGUCAUAUGACUCAUUGCCAUUAUCCCCCUCAGGGUAUUCUACCUCUCUUCAAACACACUUAUCGCAUCCUUCUUGCCACUUUCUGAAGGAGUUCUGGAAGUUCUCUUCUGUGAGGUCCGUGAAAGUGUGAUCAAGAGCUUCUAUACUUCUGGACGGAGUGGUGGUCCCGGUCCGUGAGCUGGCGAUUCCAUCACCCGCAGCUUGUCCCUAUCCUGUCUUUUGGGUUACAGGCUGCACUGGAUGGAGCUGUCAGCUCAUGUUCCCGCCAUGCCGGGGUGGAUCAUCAACUUGCCAGCUUUACUAAGGUCCCUUCGCCUGGGCUCCUUUCCCGAGAAGUGGCACCCUGGCCUAAAUCCCAGCCCGCCACGCUUCCUCGGGCUCCUCUGCCUGCUGUGUGCUCCCUUUAAAUAGGGAUCAUAAAUUAAGGAAUCAAGGCCCUUUGAAGAAAUGACUGAUGCCAGAGCAGAAGCUGGGGACAACGAAUUAAGACCCUUCAGACAGUCUCAACAAGAAGUCAAGGAUUUCACCUAGAAAAUAUCAAGAAGACACAGGAACUCACAUAAGGGGCUGCCCACUGAAAAAGUAAGAUAUAUAUACUAUUAAAAUUUAGAACAGAGACUUCUGGGAGAACAUGGCAGACAGAUAACAGCUACUACAGAGGCUCUCUGAAAGACUCGGCUCAGAAGUCAGGAAGGAUGCGGAGUAAGGAGACAUCAGCUGGUGGAGAUAUGCUCUGCUGACUCAGGAACGAACUGGGCUAGAGAAACCAACUUGGAAUGCUGUCCUGGUGCUAAAACAGGAACAGAAAAGCCUCAGUGUGGAGGCUGGAGCCCACACCAUUGGAAGCCGCGAUUUGGGUUUCCCGCUGCGGCGGCUGCCUCUACAUCAGCUCAGCAAGGAGAGAGACCCGCGGAAGCUCUGAGAAUGGGAAUCUGCGAACGGAGUCGAAAACAGGAGGGGCAGGGAGGCGUGCACUGGCUUGUGGUGAGGUGAGUGAGAGAAACUGACACUCUACCACAGUUUGACUCCAGCGGAGGUCAUUCUGGGCCCGGGCAAUCCUGUGGGAGCAGAGUGCGGUGGCGACUUCAGCCACACAUCCCCCUCUCAGGCGGGAUUGGUGAGUGGUGCCUAGCCUGCGUGACGCUGCUGGCGGACCCAGUGGGCCGGCCCAACUCAGAUCCCAGAGCCUGACGGUGGCCAGGAGGGACAGGCCCCAUAUAGGCUGCCUGGUCUGGAACUUCCUGGUGCGCUGCGGUGGGCGGGAAAAACUAACUGGUGCAAUUCAAUCAGGCUGUGGCUGACAGGGAGGGAAGCUGAGACUCCUAUGUAAGCUUGCAUAUAUAAGGAACAGAAAAUAUGGGAAGAGGCAGCAACAAGAAAGUCUCCUCGGCCCCCAAUUCUGAGAAACAGGUAAUAGCAGACACUGCACCAAUAGACAUAAAGCGCCAUAUAGAGAGCCUCAUAGAUAGUUCAGGAAUGAAGUUAUCAAUGACCUGAAGCUAGAAGUAUGCAGAAUAGUUAGAGAAAUGCUAAGCACCACCCAAGAAAAAACAGAUGGUGGAAUGGAAGAACAGAAAAAGAGGGGAUAAUUGUUCGAUGGAGAAAACAGAGAAAGCAUAGAAUACGUGAAGCAGGUUCAAAGGGACUACCAAGAAACAAAGAAGUCUAUCAAAAACUGGCAUAACAGCUUGAAAGAAACUAAGGACAGACUAUCUGAACUGGAGGGCAGAUUUGUAAUAUGGGAGAAUGAAAUGAAAAACUUCUUAAAAAUAACAAAGAAACAAACAGCAAUAAUACAAAGACGAGAAGAUGAUAAGAGGAUCCAUAACUUAAGGAUUAAGAACAUAAAAGAAAAAGUAGGGAUACAAACAAAUGAACUACAAAAGCUACUCACAGAAAUAAUGCAGGAGAAUUUUCCUAAUUUAGCAAAAGGUAAAGAUACUCAGAUGUAUGAGGCAUACAGGACCCCAGCUACCUACAACCCAAACAGAGAAACACCCAGGCAUAUAAUAAUAAAAAUUCCAGAAAUUCAAUACAAGAACAGAACAUUAAAAGCUGUCAGAGACAAGAAACAGACCACUUAAAAGGGAACACCCAUCAAACUUACAGCAGAUUUCUCUGCACAAACCAUCAAAUCACAAAGAGCGUGGGGGGAAAUAAUUCAAGCUUUGAAAGAUAAUAAUCUCCAGCCAAGAUUAAGAUAUCCUGCACAACUGUCCCUGGAAAUUGAUGGAAAAACAAGGUGCUUCCAGGAUAAAGAGGAACUGGGGGAAUUUGCAACCACCAAUUCAACUCUACAGAGAGUAUUGCAGGAUAUUCUAAAAAAAGAAAAAUACAAAGAAUCCAGAAAUAGUGGCAGGGAGGCCACAACGAAUGGAGCAGAGAACAAAAUGAAGAAGACAAACUGACAGCUACUGACAGAAAAAGAGCUCAACAGAAAUGAGGCAGAGAAGAUUGGAUGAUAGGAACAGCUUUUGGAGAAAAUGACACCUUAAUAGGUAAUACUGAUCUAGUAUCAUCUUGUUUUGAAGUCUCAUCAAGCUUUUGUUCUUCUGUCUCCAUUGGUCUAAAUAGGUUGUAUUGGAUUUUAUUAUGUACAAUAGUAUAAGCAAAAACCUUUUAAAGACAAGGAGAUUAUACAGAAACCAUUGUUCAUUUUCUGUUAGUCGAUUCUAAAUACCCUGUAAUGCUAUCAUUCUCUUAAAUGCUUUUACAUUGUUUUGAUAUAUUUAAUGCUACAGUACACGAAGUUGUACUCAAGGAUUUCAAGGAAAGAGACAAUAUGGUAACUACUUCUAUGUCAGGAUUAUCUGGUGGUGAAACACUAUUCUGCUUAAAUGGUUAUGUUUUGAUCUGCGCUGUUUUGCUGUUAUGCCCUCUUUUAUCUCAAUCUCCACUCCAUUAUUUACUUUUUUAUUUUUAUCCUUUUAAUUAAGGGAAAAAUAAAUAAAAAUAGCAGGAUAUAUUAUAGUAACCCACUUUGACUUUCCAUUAUCUCGAUUUAAAGCCCUGUAUUACUCUCACCAUCUUGUUUUUGACUGAUGUUCCCCUAUUCUGUUUUGCUGGAUAGUAUCAGGUUCAAAAGUUUAGGCAACAGCUGUGAAGAUAAUGAGAUUCUUUAAGACACCCAUUCUCAUUGACUUUUAUCUACUUUUGAAGACCUACAAUGUCUCCAAUGUUUUGGUUUUGUCGGUUUUGUUCUUUACUGUUUUGUUCAAUUUUAUUAUAACUAAUGAUAUAGACAAUUCUAUUAGAGAUAGUGGGAGGCAUUAUGGUAACCAUUGUUGAUCACCUUGUAUUAUGUUUUUACAUUAUCUAUUAUGUCCACCCUUUUGAUUUGACUGACUCUGUUCUGUUAUGUCACAUUUGGUUUUACUCUCUUCCAAAAAUGUAAUAAGAACCGUGGGAGCAAUGAAACCCAAAAUGUGCAAUAGUCAUUGUAUAAAAGAGAGGAAAAGAAAGCGCUCUAAACUAUAUAACUGCAUGUAUAUUUAAGUGUAUAAGAUAGAAAAUGAUAUAACUGAGUUUUAUUGGAUCAUUGAACAGAACUGUUUGCAGUAUCAUUGUUGGAAUGUCCACUUUACAAGCUUUAAUUUUGUGACUUGAACAAUUAUUUCUAAGAUGACAAUAUGUAACCCAUUAACUAGUGAUUUCCUACUGUUUAUUUUUUUUUCUGUAAAUCUGUAUAACUUGUACCCUUUCUCUGCUUUUUUUUUCCUUCUUAAAUAAAAUUUAAAAAAAUUAAAAAAAAAAUGAAAGUGUGAUCAAGAACAUGAUGAAAGGGGCUGGGGACUUAGCUCAGCGGCAUAAUUGCCUACCUUGCAAGCAGGCAGUCAUGAGUUUGAUCCCUGGUACCGAUAAAAAGGAAAAAGACAAAAAAACAAAACAAAAAAAAAUGAUGAAAAAUGCUUUCUAACAGAAACAGAGGUCUAAAAACUCCACGAUGUAUCUUUAUCCACCUUGUUCAAUGUGUUUAGCACUGUGUGACUUCUGAUUCUUUCAUAAAGUCAACAUGAUCCAGAAAGGUAAAUACCUUUAAUUUACUCGGAAUAUCCUGGAUGCUAUGACAGCACAACUAAAGUAGUUGAAGAGGACUUCCAACACUCAACCGAAAAUUGCAGGAGUAAUGGGAUUGUGCAUUUCACAUAAGAAGGAUGCUAGCAGUAUGGGGAAGAACUUCUCGUUGGAUCACUCAGCAUCAUCGCAGGACUCCGCUCACCCCUGGGAGUUCAGUCUCAUCCUCAUACCUUCUAUAGUCUUUUUAUCAGCAGUGAGAGCUUUAUCUGACUGCAGGAUGCAUUUCCCUAUUGCUGCCUGUGACUCCAGGAACCUCUUAAAGACUUCCUCUGCCUGUGGGUUUAAGAAUUAAAAUGCUUACAAUUUGAGAAUAUUUCUGCAAAACAAAUACAUGCAUUCAUUUUGCUUCAUGAUUAAAUAUUAUAGUGGCUCUCUACAAAGGGGUCAACUUCUUCAGUGUAACCAGAGGCUUGCCACCUCUUCUGAUUUCCAUCUCCCUUCCUCCAGUCUUUUUUGGACUCUUUCCUACUACCUGCUCUAGGGUUUAGUCAGUCAGGAUCAUGUGCCUGUGUCAAAACCAUAAUGUCUGAUGCUUUUGUGUAUUUCUCUUCAAACAAGACAUGCUGACUCUGUACUGUGUUGUCCAGAUUUUAUUGGCUUUAUCUCUACGAAAGUUAUUUAAUCUGUAGGGGCUUCUCAGCACAUUAGUGUAAAAUAUGCACAAUAAAUGUAAAACUUAAAGCU